This 253-nucleotide ribosomal RNA is filed under the name uncultured prokaryote. RNAcentral describes it as "partial 16S ribosomal RNA". It matches the Rfam family "Bacterial small subunit ribosomal RNA", at positions 525 to 777 of the family's 1533-position model. The record is from RNAcentral.
UCGUAGGGUGCAAGCGUUAAUCGGAAUUACUGGGCGUAAAGCGUGCGCAGGCGGUGAUGUAAGACAGGUGUGAAAUCCCCGGGCUUAACCUGGGAACUGCAUUUGUGACUGCAUCGCUGGAGUGCGGCAGAGGGGGAUGGAAUUCCGCGUGUAGCAGUGAAAUGCGUAGAGAUGCGGAGGAACACCGAUGGCGAAGGCAGCCCCCUGGGAUAACACUGACGCUCAAGCACGAAAGCGUGGGGAGCAAACAGGA